Molecule: non-coding RNA, 30 nt
Filed under: Rattus norvegicus (Norway rat)
Lineage: Eukaryota; Metazoa; Chordata; Mammalia; Rodentia; Muridae
Source: RNAcentral
UACUAUUCUGUUUUUGAAAACUUUAAGGUA